RNAcentral lists this ribosomal RNA (238 nucleotides) under uncultured bacterium. RNAcentral describes it as "partial 16S ribosomal RNA". It matches the Rfam family "Bacterial small subunit ribosomal RNA", at positions 15 to 245 of the family's 1533-position model. The record is from RNAcentral.
GAUCAUGGCUCAGGAUGAACGCUAGCUACAGGCUUAACACAUGCAAGUCGAGGGGCAGCAUCAUCAAAGCUUGCUUUGAUGGAUGGCGACCGGCGCACGGGUGAGUAACACGUAUCCAACCUGCCGACAACUCUGGGAUAGCCUUUCGAAAGAAAGAUUAAUACCGGAUGGCAUAGUUUUCCCGCAUGGGACGAUUAUUAAAGAAUUUCGGUUGUCGAUGGGGAUGCGUUCCAUUAGG